AGAGUUUGAUCAUGGCUCAGGAUGAACGCUAGCUACAGGCUUAACACAUGCAAGUCGAGGGGCAGCAUGUUGGUUGCUUGCAACCAACGAUGGCGACCGGCGCACGGGUGAGUAACGCGUAUCCAACCUACCCUUGUCCAUCGGGAUAACCCGUCGAAAGGCGGCCUAACACGAUAUGCGGUUCACAGCAGGCAUCUAACGUGAACGAAAUGUAAAGGAGAAGGAUGGGGAUGCGUCUGAUUAGCUUGUUGGCGGGGUAACGCCACCAAGGCUACGAUCAGUAGGGGUUCUGAGAGGAAGGUCCCCCANAUUGGAACUGAGACACGGUCCAAACUCCUACGGGAGGCA
RNAcentral lists this ribosomal RNA (348 nucleotides) under uncultured bacterium. RNAcentral's name for it is "bacterial SSU rRNA". It matches the Rfam family "Bacterial small subunit ribosomal RNA", at positions 8 to 350 of the family's 1533-position model. The record is from RNAcentral.